GAUGUUGAUGAGUAUAUGCAGGCCCAGCUCCUCCUAGCCGCUCUGAACAUUGCUACACAUGUCCUGAAGCCAGGGGGCUGCUUUGUGGCCAAGAUAUUCCGAGGCCGGGAUGUGACACUCCUCUACAGCCAGCUGCAGGUCUUCUUCUCCAGCGUGCUGUGUGCCAAGCCCAGGAGCAGCCGGAACUCCAGCAUCGAGGCCUUCGCUGUCUGUCAGGGCUAUGACCCUCCCGAGGGCUUCAUCCCGGACCUGAGCAAACCCCUGCUGGACCAUUCUUACGAUUUCAACCAGCUGGAUGGUCCCACCCGCAUCAUUGUGCCUUUUGUGACCUGUGGGGACCUGAGCUCCUAUGAUUCGGACCGCAGUUACCCACUGGACCUAGAGGGCAGCUCAGAGUACAAGUACACUCCACCCACACAGCCCCCCAUCUCACCACCAUACCAGGAGGCCUGCACGUUGAAGAAGAAGGGGCAGCUGGCCAAGGAGAUCCGCCCCCAGGACUGCCCCAUCAGCAGAGUGGACACGUUUUCCCAGCCCCUGGCCGCCCCUCAGUGCCACACCCUGCUGGCCCCUGAGGUCUGGAAAUGUGACUCUCAGCCUGCCUUGACCCCUUCCCCGUGUGCCUUUUUCUGACCCAAAUCUCAUGGUUUCUGGGGCCAAAAUUCCCUUUCCUGCCUCCCAAUAGCUAUAAAAAAUUGGUAAAGCCAAGCAUAAUGAAUGGAAAAGUUUUGCCAAA
This 736-nucleotide small RNA is filed under the name Pongo abelii (Sumatran orangutan). RNAcentral describes it as "processed transcript". Lineage: Eukaryota; Metazoa; Chordata; Mammalia; Primates; Hominidae. The record is from RNAcentral.